RNAcentral lists this ribosomal RNA (253 nucleotides) under uncultured bacterium. RNAcentral's name for it is "partial 16S ribosomal RNA". It matches the Rfam family "Bacterial small subunit ribosomal RNA", at positions 524 to 776 of the family's 1533-position model. The record is from RNAcentral.
UACGAAGGGGGCUAGCGUUGUUCGGAAUUACUGGGCGUAAAGCGCACGUAGGCGGAUUGUUAAGUGAGGGGUGAAAUCCCAGGGCUCAACCCUGGAACUGCCUUUCAUACUGGCAAUCUUGAGUUCGAGAGAGGUGAGUGGAAUUCCGAGUGUAGAGGUGAAAUUCGUAGAUAUUCGGAGGAACACCAGUGGCGAAGGCGGCUCACUGGCUCGAUACUGACGCUGAGGUGCGAAAGCGUGGGGAGCAAACAGG